RNAcentral lists this long non-coding RNA (387 nucleotides) under Androctonus crassicauda. The record is from RNAcentral. Lineage: Eukaryota; Metazoa; Arthropoda; Arachnida; Scorpiones; Buthidae.
CUUUCGAAUUAUUGAUACAUAUAAACACAAGAAAAUAGAAAAUAUACGAAAAUGGGCGAAUGGGAAUUAUUUCCAGAAUCAUUUCCAACUAAUAAAAAUAUGAUUACUCUAAAUUGUUUUGAAUUUUUUUUAAAUAUUUUUACUUUUUCAAAAAAGCACUUUAAAGUUUUAUGAUGAUGAUGUAUAAGAUUGCAAAUAUCCAUUCAUUGGUUAAUGCUUUCUUAUUUACUGUUUUUUUUUUUUUUUUUUUGUGUGUGUGUGAAAGAAAGUUUCACAGACUUCCUGUAACUUCCCACGUUGUCAGAACUGAUUUUCCUAAGAAUCACGUGAUGUUUCCAAACAUGUUAAUUAACACAAACUAUAUACGCUUAGUUUGGUUGGUAUGGU